GUGAAGCGGGAAAAGCUCAAAUUUAAAAUCUGGCGGUCCUUAUGGUCGUCCGAGUUGUAAUCUGGAGAAGUGCUUUCUGUGCUGGACCGUGUACAAGUCUCUUGGAACAGAGCGUCAUAGAGGGUGAGAAUCCCGUCUUUGACACGGACUACCAGUGCUUUGUGAUGUGCUCUCAAAGAGUCGAGUUGUUUGGGAAUGCAGCUCAAAAUGGGUGGUAAAUUCCAUCUAAAGCUAAAUAUUGGCGAGAGACCGAUAGCGAACAAGUACCGUGAGGGAAAGAUGAAAAGAACUUUGGAAAGAGAGUUAAACAGUACGUGAAAUUGCUGAAAGGGAAACACUUGAAGUCAGUCGCGUUGGCCAGGACUCAGCCUUGCUUUUUUGCUUGGUUUACUUUCUGGUUGACGGGUCAGCAUCAGUUUUGAUCAUUAGAAAAUGGCUGAGGGAAUGUGGCAUCUUUGGAUGUGUUAUAGCCCUUGGUCGCAUGUAAUGGUUGGGACUGAGGAUCACAGCACACCUUUAAUGGUCGGGGUUCGCCCACGUUUGUGCUUAGGAUGCUGGCAUAAUGGCUUUAAUUGACCCGUCUUGAAACACGGACCAAGGAGUCUAACAUGCAUGCGAGUGUUUGGGUGGAAAACUCGAGCGCAUAAUGAAAGUGAAAGUUGAGACCUCUGUCGUGGAGGGCAUCGACGCCCGGACCAGAACUUCUGUGACGGCCCUGCGGUAGAGCAUGUAUGUUGGGACCCGAAAGAUGGUGAACUAUGCCUGAAUAGGGUGAAGCCAGAGGAAACUCUGGUGGAGGCUCGUAGCGAUUCUGACGUGCAAAUCGAUCGU
This 831-nucleotide ribosomal RNA is filed under the name Amaropostia stiptica. Its description in RNAcentral is "partial large subunit ribosomal RNA". It matches the Rfam family "Eukaryotic large subunit ribosomal RNA", at positions 93 to 905 of the family's 3401-position model. Lineage: Eukaryota; Fungi; Basidiomycota; Agaricomycetes; Polyporales; Postiaceae. The record is from RNAcentral.